This 1144-nucleotide ribosomal RNA is filed under the name uncultured organism. RNAcentral describes it as "bacterial SSU rRNA". It matches the Rfam family "Bacterial small subunit ribosomal RNA", at positions 64 to 1225 of the family's 1533-position model. The record is from RNAcentral.
GAACGUGAAGCCUAGUACCUAGUAUUGGGUGGAAAGUGGCGAACGGGUGAGUAACACGUUGGUGACCUGUCCCGAGGUGGGGAAUAACCGUGGGAAACCAUGGCUAAUACCCCGGAUGUCUAGGUUGUUAGAGGGCCUAGACCAAAGCCCCUGUAAGGGGUGCGCCUUGGGAGGGGCCUGCGGGCUAUCAGCUUGUUGGUGGGGUAACGGCCUACCAAGGCUAAGACGGCUAGGGGGCGUGAGAGCGCGACCCCCCACAAUGGAACUGAGACACGGUCCAUACUCCUACGGGAGGCAGCAGUGAGGAAUAUUGCGCAAUGGGGGCAACCCUGACGCAGCAACGCCGCGUGGACGAUGAAGGCCUUCGGGUUGUAAAGUCCUUUUUUGGGGGACGAUAAUGACGGUACCCCAAGAAUAAAGUCCCGGCUAACUACGUGCCAGCAGCCGCGGUAAAACGUACGGGGCGAGCGUUAUCCGGAUUUACUGGGCGUAAAGCGCACGUAGGCGGCGCCGUACGUUGGACGUGAAAGCUCUCGGCUUAACUGGGAGAGGUCGUUCAAUACUGCGGUGCUUGAGGUUGGAAGAGGAGAGUGGAAUUCCCGGUGUCAUGGUGGAAUGCGUAGAAUAUCGGGAGGAACACCAGUGGCGAAGGCGGCUCUCUGGUCCACACCAGACGCUGAGGUGCGAAAGCGUGGGGAGCGAACGGGAUUAGAUACCCCGGUAGUCCACGCCGUAAACGAUGGAUACUAGGUGUAGGAGGUCAUUUACCCCUUCUGUGCCGUAGCUAACGCGUUAAGUAUCCCGCCUGGGGACUACGAUCGCAAGGUUAAAACUCAAAGGAAUUGACGGGGGCCCGCACAAGCAGCGGAGCGUGUGGUUUAAUUCGAUGAUACGCGAAGAACCUCACCGGGGUUAGACAUGUUGGUAGUAGUGAAGCGAAAGCGGAACGACCCUUCGGGGAGCCAUCACAGGUGCUGCAUGACUGUCGUCAGCUCGUGUCGUGAGAUGUUGGGUUAAGUCCCGCAACGAGCGCAACCCUCGUCGUUAGUUACAAGUGUCUAACGAGACUGCCGGUAUCAAACCGGAGGAAGGUGGGGAUGACCUCAAGUCAGCAUGGGCUUUAUAUCCAGGGCGACACACACGC